Molecule: long non-coding RNA, 433 nt
Organism: Oreochromis aureus
Lineage: Eukaryota; Metazoa; Chordata; Actinopteri; Cichliformes; Cichlidae
Source: Ensembl
AGUAAAGUAAAUAAAAUGUUUUUAAACUCCAACUAAUGUAAAGCAGGCGGUUUCAGCUUUGUGGCCCUUUCCUGCUUCUGAUUUUGCCUCGUUUUUUGUUUUUUUAGUCACUACUGGCCUUUUUAAAAACUUUUAUUAAAUUGUAAGUCAGCAACCUUUCACUGAGCAGCCAUUAAGGAUUUUUCUAUUGAAAAAUGUGAAUGAAGGGAAAGAGAAACCUCACACGCAGACUCAUAGACAAGGUCACCCAGCAUGCACAUCAUCGUUUCCUUUCAGUGACACCACACUCGUGUCAAGGACACAUCAGAAGCCAAGGAUUCAACAGGUCACUGUGGUGGAAAGUCCAUGGCAGGGUUUAAUCUUCAAGCCCUUCUUGAAAGAUUUGAGGUGUGUUUGAGCUCAUUAUCCUGCUGCAGCAUGAUUCCUUCCCCAC